UACGUAGGGUGCAAGCGUUAAUCGGAAUUACUGGGCGUAAAGCGUGCGCAGGCGGUUCUAUAAGACAGAUGUGAAAUCCCCGGGCUCAACCUGGGAACUGCAUUUGUGACUGUAGAGCUGGAGUACGGCAGAGGGGGAUGGAAUUCCGCGUGUAGCAGUGAAAUGCGUAGAUAUGCGGAGGAACACCGAUGGCGAAGGGCAAUCCCCUGGGCCUGCACUGACACUCAU
RNAcentral lists this ribosomal RNA (228 nucleotides) under uncultured bacterium. RNAcentral's name for it is "partial 16S ribosomal RNA". It matches the Rfam family "Bacterial small subunit ribosomal RNA", at positions 524 to 750 of the family's 1533-position model. The record is from RNAcentral.